UUUAGUGUACAUACCUACAACGAUAUAUGAAAGAGUUGUGGCCAUGAAUGGCCAAAUUCAGGACUAAUUACUAAUCACCUAAAACCAAAUCACAUCUAAUUAAUUUUAAAUCGAAAAUGGAAUUUAAUUAAAAAUGGAUCACGAUUGUCUUCAUCGUUCAGGGGCAAUUUCAUUUCUUUCCCCAAAUCUUCUCUGUUUCAAGACGUGUGGUUGCUUCGUUAUCUCUCCGUGUGAUUUGACGUUCUCUGUGCCCUCCAUUUGUAGGGUUUUUCUGAUCGAAAGUAGCUUGGUUCUGCCCCGUCAAGGUAUUACUUGGGAGAUUUUGCAAAACC
RNAcentral lists this unclassified non-coding RNA (332 nucleotides) under Hevea brasiliensis (rubber tree). The record is from RNAcentral. Lineage: Eukaryota; Viridiplantae; Streptophyta; Magnoliopsida; Malpighiales; Euphorbiaceae.